AGAGUUUGAUCAUGGCUCAGAGCGAACGCUGGCGGCGUACUUAACACAUGCAAGUCGAACGAGGAUCAUCGGUGUAGCAAUACAUCGGUGGUCCUAGUGGCGCACGGGUGAGUAACACGUGGGUAACCUGCCCUUGAGCUCGGGAUACCCCCUCGAAAGGGGGGCUAAUACCGGAUACGUUCCUCGGAUCGACAGGUCUGGGGAGGAAAGGUGGCGCAAGCUGCCGCUCUUGGAGGGGCUCGCGGCCUAUCAGCUAGUUGGCAGGGUAACGGCCCACCAAGGCUAUGACGGGUAGCUGGUCUGAGAGGACGACCAGCCACACGGGGACUGAGACACGGCCCCGACUCCUACGGGAGGCAGCAGUGGGGAAUUUUCCGCAAUGGGCGAAAGCCUGACGGAGUGACGCCGCGUGUGGGACGAAGGCCUUCGGGUCGUAAACCACUGUCAGUGGGAAAGAAGGGUGUCGAUGCUAAUACCAUCGGCAUUUGACGGUACCUGCAGAGGAAGCCCCGGCCAACUCUGUGCCAGCAGCCGCGGUAAGACAGAGGGGGCAAGCGUUGCUCGGAAUUACUGGGCGUAAAGGGCGCGUAGGCGGGAUGGCAAGUCGGUCCUGAAAUCCUUCGGCUCAACCGAAGAACGUCGAUCGAUACUGCUGUUCUUGAGGGUUGCAGAGGAGACUGGAAUUCCCGGUGUAGCGGUGAAAUGUGUAGAGAUCGGGAGGAACACCGGUGGCGAAGGCGGGUCUCUGGGCAAUUCCUGACGCUGAGGCGCGAAAGCGUGGGGAGCAAACGGGAUUAGAUACCCCCGUAGUCC
This 813-nucleotide ribosomal RNA is filed under the name uncultured bacterium. RNAcentral describes it as "bacterial SSU rRNA". It matches the Rfam family "Bacterial small subunit ribosomal RNA", at positions 8 to 796 of the family's 1533-position model. The record is from RNAcentral.